GGGGGCGUACCGGAAUCGACAGGGAAGUAAGCUUUGUAGUAAGCACGCCGGAGCAUGAUUGGUUACUCCGUAAAAAAUAACGAUUGAACUCUAGUUGGCACUCCCAGCUACGCUAUGGCAGCCUAAUCCUUCGGGAUAAAGUUUCCUAGCUUCCAUAGGCCGCAUGGUUGAGGCUCCAUACACAUCACGCCGCCUUCACCUCUUGGAGAUCGCCCGCCGCCCUAGUCUGAGCGGUAGGUUAAAUAAAGGACUUAAGGCCUGGGAUCAGAGGGUGACCAAUCUUUCCCCGGGCUCGAAAAUCUAACUGGCCACUAAGCGUGUAGAAAGCUGCCUUGCGCUUUCGCUGGACGCGAGUUCGAAUCUCGCCGCCUCCACUU
This 377-nucleotide transfer-messenger RNA is filed under the name Saprospiraceae. Its description in RNAcentral is "Lewinella_A sp001625015 Standard tmRNA". It matches the Rfam family "transfer-messenger RNA". From Rfam's summary of the family: Bacterial tmRNA, also known as 10Sa RNA or SsrA, is named for its dual tRNA and mRNA-like properties. Its role is to liberate the mRNA from a stalled ribosome. Lineage: Bacteria; Pseudomonadati; Bacteroidota; Saprospiria; Saprospirales. The record is from RNAcentral. RNAcentral also lists the same sequence under 1 other name.